This 1378-nucleotide ribosomal RNA is filed under the name Chryseobacterium sp. VH-31. RNAcentral's name for it is "bacterial SSU rRNA". It matches the Rfam family "Bacterial small subunit ribosomal RNA". Lineage: Bacteria; Pseudomonadati; Bacteroidota; Flavobacteriia; Flavobacteriales; Weeksellaceae. The record is from RNAcentral.
CGAGCGGUAGAGAUUCUUCGGAAUCUUGAGAGCGGCGUACGGGUGCGGAACACGUGUGCAACCUGCCUUUAUCUGGGGGAUAGCCUUUCGAAAGGAAGAUUAAUACCCCAUAAUAUACUGGAUGGCAUCAUUCGGUAUUGAAAACUCCGGUGGAUAGAGAUGGGCACGCGCAAGAUUAGAUAGUUGGUGAGGUAACGGCUCACCAAGUCUACGAUCUUUAGGGGGCCUGAGAGGGUGAUCCCCCACACUGGUACUGAGACACGGACCAGACUCCUACGGGAGGCAGCAGUGAGGAAUAUUGGACAAUGGGUGAGAGCCUGAUCCAGCCAUCCCGCGUGAAGGACGACGGCCCUAUGGGUUGUAAACUUCUUUUGUAUAGGGAUAAACCUAGAUACGUGUAUCUAGCUGAAGGUACUAUACGAAUAAGCACCGGCUAACUCCGUGCCAGCAGCCGCGGUAAUACGGAGGGUGCAAGCGUUAUCCGGAUUUAUUGGGUUUAAAGGGUCCGUAGGCGGAUCUGUAAGUCAGUGGUGAAAUCUCACAGCUUAACUGUGAAACUGCCAUUGAUACUGCAGGUCUUGAGUGUUGUUGAAGUAGCUGGAAUAAGUAGUGUAGCGGUGAAAUGCAUAGAUAUUACUUAGAACACCAAUUGCGAAGGCAGGUUACUAAGCAACAACUGACGCUGAUGGACGAAAGCGUGGGGAGCGAACAGGAUUAGAUACCCUGGUAGUCCACGCCGUAAACGAUGCUAACUCGUUUUUGGAGCGCAAGCUUCAGAGACUAAGCGAAAGUGAUAAGUUAGCCACCUGGGGAGUACGAACGCAAGUUUGAAACUCAAAGGAAUUGACGGGGGCCCGCACAAGCGGUGGAUUAUGUGGUUUAAUUCGAUGAUACGCGAGGAACCUUACCAAGGCUUAAAUGGGAAAUGACAGGUUUAGAAAUAGACUUUUCUUCGGACAUUUUUCAAGGUGCUGCAUGGUUGUCGUCAGCUCGUGCCGUGAGGUGUUAGGUUAAGUCCUGCAACGAGCGCAACCCCUGUCACUAGUUGCCAUCAUUAAGUUGGGGACUCUAGUGAGACUGCCUACGCAAGUAGAGAGGAAGGUGGGGAUGACGUCAAAUCAUCACGGCCCUUACGCCUUGGGCCACACACGUAAUACAAUGGCCGGUACAGAGGGCAGCUACACUGCGAAGUGAUGCAAAUCUCGAAAGCCGGUCUCAGUUCGGAUUGGAGUCUGCAACUCGACUCUAUGAAGCUGGAAUCGCUAGUAAUCGCGCAUCAGCCAUGGCGCGGUGAAUACGUUCCCGGGCCUUGUACACACCGCCCGUCAAGCCAUGGAAGUCUGGGGUACCUGAAGUCGGUGACCGUAACAGGAGCUGC